Molecule: ribosomal RNA, 253 nt
Filed under: uncultured prokaryote
Description: partial 16S ribosomal RNA
Rfam family: Bacterial small subunit ribosomal RNA
Source: RNAcentral
GACAGAGGGUGCAAACGUUGUUCGGAAUUACUGGGCGUAAAGCGCGUGUAGGCGGCCAAGUGUGUCGGACGUGAAAUCCCACGGCUCAACCGUGGAAGUGCGCUCGAAACUGCUUGGCUGGAGUCUCGGAGAGGAAGGUGGAAUGCUUGGUGUAGAGGUGAAAUUCGUAGAUAUCAAGCGGAACACCGGUGGCGAAGGCGGCCUUCUGGACGAUGACUGACGCUGAGACGCGAAAGCGUGGGGAGCAAACAGG